RNAcentral lists this ribosomal RNA (429 nucleotides) under Chloroflexota bacterium. RNAcentral's name for it is "Chloroflexi bacterium partial 16S ribosomal RNA". It matches the Rfam family "Bacterial small subunit ribosomal RNA", at positions 355 to 776 of the family's 1533-position model. The record is from RNAcentral. Lineage: Bacteria; Bacillati; Chloroflexota.
UGGGGAAUAUUGCACAAUGGGCGCAAGCCUGAUGCAGCCAUGCCGCGUGUAUGAAGAAGGCCUUCGGGUUGUAAAGUACUUUCAGCGGGGAGGAAGGGAGUAAAGUUAAUACCUUUGCUCAUUGACGUUACCCGCAGAAGAAGCACCGGCUAACUCCGUGCCAGCAGCCGCGGUAAUACGGAGGGUGCAAGCGUUAAUCGCAAUUACUGGGCGUAAAGCGCACGCAGGCGGUCUGUCAAGUCGGAUGUGAAAUCCCCGGGCUUAACCUGGGAACUGCAUUCGAAACUGGCAGGCUAGAGUCUUGUAGAGGGGGGUAGAAUUCCAGGUGUAGCGGUGAAAUGCGUAGAGAUCUGGAGGAAUACCGGUGGCGAAGGCGGCCCCCUGGACAAAGACUGACGCUCAGGUGCGAAAGCGUGGGGAGCAAACAGG